CCUACGGGUGGCAGCAGUGAGGAAUAUUGGUCAAUGGACGAGAGUCUGAACCAGCCAAGUAGCGUGAAGGAUGACUGCCCUAUGGGUUGUAAACUUCUUUUAUAUGGGAAUAACAUGUUCCACGUGUGGGAUUUUGUAUGUACCAUAUGAAUAAGGAUCGGCUAACUCCGUGCCAGCAGCCGCGGUAAUACGGAGGAUCCGAGCGUGAUCCGGAUUUCUUGGGUUUAAAGGGGGCGUAGGUGGGUUGUUAAGUAAGUUGUGAAAGUUUGCGGCUCAACCGGAAAAUUGCAGUUGAAACUGGCAGUCUUGAGUACAGGAGAGGUGGGCGGAAUGCGUGGUGUAGCGGUGAAAUGCUUAGAUAUCACGAAGAACUCCGAUUGCGAAGGCAGUUCACUGGACUGCAACUGACACUGAGGCUCGAAAGUGUGGGUAUCAAACAGGAUUAGAUACCCCGGUAGUC
Molecule: ribosomal RNA, 460 nt
Filed under: uncultured bacterium
Lineage: Bacteria
Description: partial 16S ribosomal RNA
Rfam family: Bacterial small subunit ribosomal RNA
Source: RNAcentral